RNAcentral lists this ribosomal RNA (502 nucleotides) under uncultured bacterium. RNAcentral's name for it is "bacterial SSU rRNA". It matches the Rfam family "Bacterial small subunit ribosomal RNA", at positions 24 to 518 of the family's 1533-position model. The record is from RNAcentral.
UCAGGAUGAACGCUAGCGGCAGGCUUAACACAUGCAAGUCGAGGGGCGAACGCGAGUAGCAAUACUUGGCGGCGACCGGCGCAAGGGUGCGUAGCGCGUGAGCAACAUGCCCGUAUCAGGGGGAUAAUCCAGGGAAACUUGGUCUAAUACCCCAUAGUAAUUUUGUAAGGCAUCUUAUAAGAUUUAAAGCUUUGGUGGAUACGGAUUGGCUCGCGUGACAUUAGCUGGAUGGUAAGGUAACGGCUUACCAUGGCUAUGAUGUCUAGGGGUUCUGAGAGGAAGGUCCCCCACACUGGAACUGAGACACGGUCCAGACUCCUACGGGAGGCAGCAGUGAGGAAUAUUGGACAAUGGAUGGAAAUCUGAUCCAGCCAUGCCGCGUGAAGGAAAAGAAGGUCCUAUGGAUUGUAAACUUCUUUUGUAUGGGAGCAAUAAGGCCUACGAGUAGGUUGAUGAGAGUACCAUACGAAUAAGCACCGGCUAACUCCGUGCCAGCAGCGGC